RNAcentral lists this ribosomal RNA (253 nucleotides) under uncultured bacterium. RNAcentral's name for it is "partial 16S ribosomal RNA". It matches the Rfam family "Bacterial small subunit ribosomal RNA", at positions 524 to 776 of the family's 1533-position model. The record is from RNAcentral.
UACGUAGGGGGCAAGCGUUGUCCGGAAUCAUUGGGCGUAAAGCGCGUGUAGGCGGUUCGGUAAGUCUGCUGUGAAAGUCCAGGGCUCAACCCUGGGAUGCCGGUGGAUACUGUCGGACUAGAGUACGGAAGAGGCGAGUGGAAUUCCCGGUGUAGCGGUGAAAUGCGCAGAUAUCGGGAGGAACACCAAUGGCGAAGGCAGAUCUCUGGGCCGUAACUGACGCUGAGGAGCGAAAGUGUGGGGAGCGAACAGG